CGCUUUAUGGUGUAGAAACAUAUUGUAUUUUCAUUACAAAGCCGAAACCUUUUUCUAAAGCAU
RNAcentral lists this transfer RNA (63 nucleotides) under Euplax sp. RNAcentral's name for it is "tRNA-Glu". Lineage: Eukaryota; Metazoa; Arthropoda; Malacostraca; Decapoda; Macrophthalmidae. The record is from RNAcentral.